CGAUGCCCGAGCGGUUAAUGGGGACGGACUGUAAAUUCGUUGACAAUAUGUCUACGCUGGUUCAAAUCCAGCUCGGCCCAACCCAAUA
Molecule: transfer RNA, 88 nt
Filed under: Brachystegia allenii
Lineage: Eukaryota; Viridiplantae; Streptophyta; Magnoliopsida; Fabales; Fabaceae
Description: tRNA-Tyr
Rfam family: tRNA
About the family: Transfer RNA (tRNA) molecules are approximately 80 nucleotides in length. Their secondary structure includes four short double-helical elements and three loops (D, anti-codon, and T loops). Further hydrogen bonds mediate the characteristic L-shaped molecular structure. tRNAs have two regions of fundamental functional importance: the anti-codon, which is responsible for specific mRNA codon recognition, and the 3' end, to which the tRNAs corresponding amino acid is attached (by aminoacyl-tRNA synthetases). tRNAs cope with the degeneracy of the genetic code in two manners: having more than one tRNA (with a specific anti-codon) for a particular amino acid; and 'wobble' base-pairing, i.e. permitting non-standard base-pairing at the 3rd anti-codon position.
Source: RNAcentral